Molecule: non-coding RNA, 956 nt
Filed under: Boselaphus tragocamelus (nilgai)
Lineage: Eukaryota; Metazoa; Chordata; Mammalia; Artiodactyla; Bovidae
Description: 12S ribosomal RNA
Rfam family: Bacterial small subunit ribosomal RNA
Source: RNAcentral
CAUAGGUUUGGUCCCAGCCUUCCUGUUAACUUUUAAUAAAUUUACACAUGCAAGCAUCUGCAUCCCGGUGAGAAUGCCCUCUAAGUUUAUAAAACCAAGAGGAGCUGGUAUCAAGCUCACAUCUGUAGCUAACGACACCUUGCUUAACCACACCCCCACGGGAGACAGCAGUGAUAAAAAUUAAGCUAUAAACGAAAGUUUGACUAAGUUAUAUUAAUUAGGGUUGGUAAAUCUCGUGCCAGCCACCGCGGUCAUACGAUUAACCCAAGCUAACAGGAAUACGGCGUAAAAUGUGUUUAAGCACUUACCCCAAAUAGAGUUAAAUUCUAGCUAAGCUGUAAAAAGCCAUAGCUACUAUAAAAAUAAACGACGAAAGUAACUCUACAACAGCUGACACACUAUAGCUAAGACCCAAACUGGGAUUAGAUACCCCACUAUGCUUAGCCCUAAACACAGAUAAUUAUACAAACAAGAUUAUUCGCCAGAGUACUACCGGCAACAGCUUAAAACUCAAAGGACUUGGCGGUGCUUUAUAUCCCUCUAGAGGAGCCUGUUCUAUAAUCGAUAAACCCCGAUAAACCUCACCAAUUCUUGCUAAUUCAGUCUAUAUACCGCCAUCUUCAGCAAACCCUAAAAAGGAAUAAAAGUAAGCACAAUAAUAACACAUAAAAACGUUAGGUCAAGGUGUAACCUAUGAAAUGGAAAGAAAUGGGCUACAUUUUCUAUAUUAAGAAAAUCUUACACGAAAGUUAUUAUGAAACUAACAACCAAAGGAGGAUUUAGCAGUAAACUAGGAAUAGAGUGCUUAGUUGAACUAGGCCAUGAAGCACGCACACACCGCCCGUCACCCUCCUCAAAUAAACAUGAUGCACUUAAACUUAUUCUAAAGCACUAAUCAUAUAAGAGGAGACAAGUCGUAACAAGGUAAGCAUACUGGAAAGUGUGCUUGGAUAAAU